Molecule: ribosomal RNA, 359 nt
Filed under: Escherichia sp.
Lineage: Bacteria; Pseudomonadati; Pseudomonadota; Gammaproteobacteria; Enterobacterales; Enterobacteriaceae
Description: bacterial SSU rRNA
Rfam family: Bacterial small subunit ribosomal RNA
Source: RNAcentral
GCCCAGAUGGGAUUAGCUAGUUGGUGGGGUAAAGGCUCACCAAGGCGACGAUCCGUAGCUGGUUUGAGAGGAUGACCAGCCACACUGGAACUGAGACACGGUCCAGACUCCUACGGGAGGCAGCAGUGGGGAAUAUUGCACAAUGGGGGCAACCCUGAUCCAGCCAUCCCGCGUGUAUGAAGAAGGCCUUCGGGUUGUAAAGUACUUUCAGCGGGGAGGAAGGGAGUAAAGUUAAUACGUGGUAUCAUUGACGUUAUCCGCAGAAGAAGCACCGGCUAACUCCGUGCCAGCAGCCGCGGUAAUACGGAGGGUGCAAGCGUUAAUCGGAAUUACUGGGCGUAAAGCGCGCGCAGGCGGUU